GACGGAGGAUGCAAGCGUUAUCCGGAAUUAUUGGGCGUAAAGCGUCCGCAGGUGGACAUACAAGUCUGCUGUCAAAGUGCAGAGCUUAACUCUGUAAAGGCGGUGGAAACUGUAGGUCUUGAGUAUGGUAGGGGUAGAGGGAAUUCCCGGUGUAGCGGUGAAAUGCGUAGAUAUCGGGAAGAACACCAGUGGCGAAAGCGGCACCCUGGCAUUAGCCUGACGCUCAUGUGCGAAAGCGUGGGGAGCGAACGGG
RNAcentral lists this ribosomal RNA (253 nucleotides) under uncultured bacterium. RNAcentral's name for it is "partial 16S ribosomal RNA". It matches the Rfam family "Bacterial small subunit ribosomal RNA", at positions 524 to 776 of the family's 1533-position model. The record is from RNAcentral.